CCAAUAGCGUAUAUUAAAGUUGUUGCAGUUAAAAAGCUCGUAGUUGAAUUUCGGGAUCAGUACGUUGGUCGUGCCUUGGUAUGUACUGGCGUCACUGAUUCCUACCUUCUGAAGAACCGUCAUGCCAUUAAUUUGGUGUGGCGGGGAAUCAGGACUGUUACUUUGAAAAAAUUAGAGUGUUUAAGGCAGGCUCGCGCUUGAAUACAUUAGCAUGGAAUAAUGAAAUAGGACGUUAAUCCUAUUUUGUUGGUUUCUAGGAUCGACGUAAUGAUUAAUAGGGAUAGUUGGUGGCAUUAGUAUUCAAUUGUCAGAGGUGAAAUUCUUGGAUUUAUUGAAGACUAACUACUGCGAAAGCAUUUGCCAAGGAUGUUUUCAUUAAUCAAGAACGAAAGUUAGGGAAUCGAAGACGAUCAGAUACCGUCGUAGUCUUAACCAUAAACUAUGCCGACUAGGGAUCGGAUGAUGUUAAUUUUUUAAUGACUCAUUCGGCGCCUUACG
RNAcentral lists this ribosomal RNA (498 nucleotides) under uncultured Glomeromycotina. RNAcentral's name for it is "partial small subunit ribosomal RNA". It matches the Rfam family "Eukaryotic small subunit ribosomal RNA", at positions 591 to 1092 of the family's 1831-position model. The record is from RNAcentral. Lineage: Eukaryota; Fungi; Glomeromycota.